This is a long non-coding RNA of Equus asinus (donkey), 2617 nucleotides long. The record is from Ensembl. Lineage: Eukaryota; Metazoa; Chordata; Mammalia; Perissodactyla; Equidae.
AUAUUAACUGAACAAUGAAAAGAAGUUUAUGCAACAAACAGCAAUUAGAAAGUAAAUAAGUUGAGUCUGUAGGUAAAAUGUAAAGAAGUUUACAGCACUUACCGAAGGAGGAAGGAAGGAGGAAGAAAGACUUGGUAGUGGGGGGGCUGGCGGAGAAGGGGUUCUUUGGAAGGCAUGGCCUUCUUUCCGCACCGUUCAACCAUUUCUCAACAUUUAGGGGGUUCACGGUGAUCUUGCAUCCAAACUUCACUACAAAUAAAGUUAUAUCACAGAAAAUACGUUGAGGGCACAAUAAAAGUAAAUACGUGAGUAGUUCAAAAGGUGUAAAACCAGUGCGUGCGCACAGCCCACUGACGAGUCACGGGACAUGCUUCCUCCUCCUUCCUCCUCCUUCCUCCACUGCGCAGUGUGCUUCGGGUUCAUCCCCACGCGGCAGCCACUCCUCUUCCUUCCAUGUGAUGUUCUCCGACUAGAAACUGCUGUGCCGAGUAAUAAGCUGGUGACUGUGUCUUUGCCUGAAACCAUAAAGUCAAAAUAUUACUUCUUGCAGCAUAUGGCAUUGGGUGAAAACAUGGUCAUACUGAAAAAAAAAGAAGCCACUGUCUGAAAAGCGUGGAACCGUUCAAAGCCGUAACGGCAGUAGGUCAUUACCGAACGUCUGUGUGCGGGCUGCGGGUGUAGCUGAGGGGCCGGGGCAGGAAGAGGCAGCACCCAGGCCUCCUUACAGGGUCUCACUGGGUAACAGUGAGCGGAGUCCUUCCGGCCGCGGGGGAGCCCGGACUGCAGACAAGCCUCCGCACACCCCGCCUCCCGGGCAGGGCCCAGGGCCCAAACUCCCUCCUGUGUUCUCCUUCAGCCGGAUUUGAGGGACUCGGGUGUGUCUGGGCUGAAAGUGUUAGAGCUUCCACCAAGCUGCUGCGGAUGUCCCCAGUGGGCGUUCGCUUGUGACUCUUAAAGAAACAGGCCUGAGGCCCGCUCUGACGGCCAGAGUCAGCUUAAGGGCUUGUUUCGUUCCGGGAGGAAUCGAGUCGCGUUGGGCAGUGAACACCCCCUGGGAGAAAGAACAGGACGCUUCACCUGUGCCCGCUGCUGUGUCCCCGGUUCUUCUGAAAUCUCCCGCACGCCGCGUCUGUUCUUAUUCCCCUGGGCCCGCUGGAAGCCCAGCUAGGGGCAGCCAGGGCCAAAGGGCACGGGCUUCGGGGCUGGCCAGAAGGGCACUCGGCUCCCCCACUUCCUCCCCUGACCACAUUCAAGUCGUCCCUCCCCUCCCGCCACCUCCCGCAACCUUCCUCCGCCCUCGCGUCCUCCUCGGAUGGCAUCACGCACGUUCUCUCUUAGCUGACGUCACCAGGCGCGAGCGUUCAUCCGCAUCUCAUCGGGAAGACUUUCCAGGGCUGGACUUGAACCCUGGAGCGCUCCCGGCACGUGUCUGUCCCUCCAGCGGUUCGGGGACUCUAGGAGACUCUUUCUCUGGCUCUCGCGCUGGCUCCCUGCCGCUGGCGCUCUCCCGGCCGUCGUCACCGUCCCGUCGUCACCGUCCCGGGAGGAGGGCCGGCCCGCAGUCGGCCUGUGGACUGCGGCGUGAGCGCCCGCGAGCUACGAGUCCUCCAACGGGCCCCGUGCUGCCAAGGCUAGUGAAGCCUGAGCGUCCGCUGCUCAGGGACAGAGAGGAGUCAGCUCGACCCGGAGGCCAGAGAGACCCCGGCUCCUCCGGGCCGUGACCUGGGGCCCCCGCCCUGCCCUGCGGCCCGCGGACUGCCCAACCUGACCGUAGGUACCACGCUGGCCGCUCUGCUGCCCCAGGACUCUGAUGCUGGUCGCCGGGAUCUCCUCCGGCACAGGGAGGAACUCCCACCCCAGCUCCAUCGUCGGGCCGGUGACUGAGCCGGGGCGCUGCCCGCGCCCGUGGAGCCUCAGCGGCGGCUUGUUUUAGGAGAAGAGCAGCGGGACUGGGGCUGGGUCGGGAAGCGCCACGGCUUCUGCACAAUAAACUGCCAUUUUUUCGGAAUCCUCCUCACCCCUUCCUCUCAUCUGCAACCUGUCAGAUUUUUUUAUAUGCUAAUCUUUGAUUCCUCUAGAAUUUCUCUCGGUGUUUGGCGAGGGCCUUAGGGAGCCCAGACCCAGAACGCGAGCCUGGUUGAGAACGUGGAGAGACGCAGGUCGCUGGAACUCGCUGUCGUGGGAAACAGCGGCCACUCGCCGCCGAGGCAGAGGGCUCGCGGGCAGCAGCGGCGGCCGCAGGAGGCAGCCCGGAGGAGCCGGCGCCCGUUCUCCUCCCGCUCGGCUCUCCCCCAGCGCCCCCGCGGGCACCACCGGCGGGCAGCCGGCCGGCCGAGAGAGACGCGCUCGGCGUCCCAGCCCAGCGUCGCCGAGCGAGCGCAGGACGGCUCCGAAGCUGAGACAGUAGCCUAGGGAUCCGCACGUGGACCCUCACAUAUUAAAUGACCGGGUCCUUGGACUUGGGCUUCCCGUACGUGAAAAGGAUGGUCCCAUAGAAGACGACCACAACUGUGAGGUGGAAAGAGCAGGUGGAGAAGGCCUUUUUCCUUCCCUCAGCUGAGGGGAUCCUCAGGAUGGUAGCAAUGAUGAACACAAAAGAGAAAGAGAUGAACACAAC